This 1456-nucleotide ribosomal RNA is filed under the name human gut metagenome. Its description in RNAcentral is "bacterial LSU rRNA". It matches the Rfam family "Bacterial large subunit ribosomal RNA", at positions 979 to 2465 of the family's 2925-position model. The record is from RNAcentral.
GGGAGUCAGACUGCACGAGAUAAGUUGGGCGGUCAAAAGGGAAAGAGCCCAGACCUUCAGUUAAGGUCCCCAAGUGCGCGUUAAGUGGAAAAGGAUGUGGGAUUUCGAAGACAACCAGGAUGUUGGCUCAGAAGCAGCCAUCCAUUCAAAGAGUGCGUAAUAGCUCACUGGUCGAGAGGUCCUGCGCCGAAAAUGUCCGGGGCUGAAACGCGCCACCGAAACUAAGGAACCGAAAGGUUGGUAGAGGAGCAUUGCAUGCGGGAAGAAGCAGUACCGUAAGGAGCUGUGGACUGCAUGGAAGAGAGAAUGCCGGAAUGAGUAGCGAGAAUAAGGUGAGAAUCCUUAUGGCCGAAUAUCCAAGGUUUCCAGAGUAAAGCUGAUCUGCUCUGGGUAAGUCGGGGCCUAAGGCGAGGACGAGAGUCGUAGCCGAUGGACAACAGGUGGAGAUUCCUGUACUGCGGUAUGACAGAACUGUGGGGACACGUAAGGAAAGCGGAAGCCGGGAAUGGAAAGCCCGGUGCAAGCGGGGUACCAGCCACUUAGGCAAAUCCGGGUGGCAAUGGGAAGCCGUGAUGCGGAGCGAAAUAAAGUAGCGAAGUCCGUGAGCCAUGCGUCAAGAAAAGCCGCUAUUGUUUAUACCGUACCCGUACCGUAAACCGACACAGGUGGAUGAGGAGAGAAUCCUAAGGCCGGCGGAAGAAGCAUUGUCAAGGAACUCGGCAAAAUGGCCCCGUAACUUAGGGAUAAGGGGUGCCUGGGAAACCAGGCCGCAGAGAAUAGGCUCAAGCAACUGUUUAGCAAAAACACAGGUCUAUGCGAAACCGAAAGGUGAGGUAUAUGGGCUGACGCCUGCCCGGUGCUGGAAGGUUAAGAGGAGAGGUUAGCGCAAGCGAAGCUUUGAAUUUAAGCCCCAGUAAACGGCGGCCGUAACUAUAACGGUCCUAAGGUAGCGAAAUUCCUUGUCGGGUAAGUUCCGACCCGCACGAAAGGCGUAAUGAUUUGAGCGCUGUCUCGACAAUGCAUCCGGUGAAAUUGAAGUACCAGUGAAGAUGCUGGUUACCUGCGCCAGGACGGAAAGACCCCAUGGAGCUUUACUCCAGUCUGGUACUGGGACUCGGUAUUGCAUGUACAGGAUAGGUGGGAGGCUAGGAGAUGGUAACGCCAGUUGCCAUGGAGCCGCUGUUGGGAUACCACCCUUGCAGUAUUGGGUUUCUAACCAGCCGCCGUGACCCGGCGGUGGGACAAUGCCAGACGGGGAGUUUGACUGGGGCGGUCGCCUCCGAAAGGGUAUCGGAGGCGCCCAAAGGUUCCCUCAGAAUGGACGGAAACCAUUCGAAGAGUGCAAAGGCAGAAGGGAGCUUGACUGCGACACCGACGGGUGGAGCAGGUACGAAAGUAGGGCUUAGUGAUCCGGUGGUAUUAAGUGGGAAUGCCAUCGCUCAACGGAUAAAAGCUA